ACUUGCUUUAACAAGUUUAUAGCUAGUUACAUAUAUUGCACAAUAUAUAUUAGGCUAAAUUAUAUAAAACUUUCAUGUCAAAAUCUGAUUUUUUACUUUUCCCUUCUGUCAUUUAAAAACCUACACUUUGCCCCUCCUUAUAAAAUGAAAAAUAUUCACUUCACUUCCUGCCGUUAGUGAUUCGUUAGAAUUUCGUUUAUAAAAUAUUAUUAUAUAUAUUUUUAUGCCAAAAAUGACCUCGGUCUUCUCUUCAAUUGCCAAAAAUGGUGAGGGGUAAAAUUGUCAUUUUGUCAUCACAGUUUGCACCGUAUCCUUCUGUGACCAUUUUUUAUUUUACAAUGGGACAAAGUGUAGAUUUUUAAAUGACAGGAAGGAAAAGUAAAAAAUUGGAUUUUGACAGGAGGGUUUUAUGUAAUUUAGCCUUUAGGGUGUUCCUGAGUUUGCACCCUUUGUAGCUUUCAAGCCCCUUUAUACUAAUUAAUUCUGUAAAGAUAAAAAGAGUAUUCAAAUUUUUAAGUUAAGAAGUUACUAAUUAGCUCAAAUCAAAUAAAUGAAAAUGUUAGAUAGUAAAAUUAAAAUUUUUAAAGAUAAAGUAGCCAAAUCAAAAUAGGUUAUAGUUAAGAUAAAUUUUUUUUUAUAUAUAUAUAUAUUUU
RNAcentral lists this long non-coding RNA (653 nucleotides) under Ananas comosus (pineapple). Its description in RNAcentral is "long non-coding RNA (ACOM_LNC029637)". Lineage: Eukaryota; Viridiplantae; Streptophyta; Magnoliopsida; Poales; Bromeliaceae. The record is from RNAcentral.